This 272-nucleotide long non-coding RNA is filed under the name Lathyrus oleraceus (garden pea). Its description in RNAcentral is "Pisum sativum (pea) long non-coding RNA (PSAT_LNC014300)". The record is from RNAcentral. Lineage: Eukaryota; Viridiplantae; Streptophyta; Magnoliopsida; Fabales; Fabaceae.
UUCGUACAGACUGCUAAUGCUAAAAAUAAACUGCGAAAAACAAAUAAGUGUAAAAAUAAGAUAAAUUAUAAAAACAUAUUAAAAGGGAAAAAUAACCAAACUAAAACAUGGAAAUGCAUAAGUAUAAAUAUAGAAGAAUGUGCAUCAAAUACAAAUAAGUGUAAAAAUAAGAUAAAUUAUAAAAACAUAUUAAAAGGGAAAAAUAACCAAACUAAAACAUGGAAAUGCAUAAGUAUAAAUAUAGAAGAAUGUGCAUCAAAAUGCACUGAUCA